Molecule: small RNA, 79 nt
Filed under: Methylobacterium sp. 174MFSha1.1
Lineage: Bacteria; Pseudomonadati; Pseudomonadota; Alphaproteobacteria; Hyphomicrobiales; Methylobacteriaceae
Description: suhB
Source: RNAcentral
GGCAGACGCUCAUGGGCGUUUCCUCCCUGACUUGGGGCCCCGCCGCGAUCCCCGCGCGGGGCCCUCCUUCCUUUCACGG